Long non-coding RNA from Lingula anatina, 254 nucleotides. RefSeq lists it as uncharacterized. The record is from RefSeq and is a predicted model, not a curated record. Lineage: Eukaryota; Metazoa; Brachiopoda; Lingulata; Lingulida; Lingulidae.
CGGGCGCAAAUUCUCCAGGCGAUCAAAGAUAUCAACCCGUGUGCCGUCAACAACAUGGCUGUGCCCGCGAAGAGCGUGUUGAAAGCUCCUCUGCCGUUUUUAUCAUAAAAUUUGUGUCUACUUGUCUAAUUUAGGGACAAUGAAAGGCCAUAAGCAGAACUCGGGAAUGGCCAGCCCCAACACAAGCUGGAAGGAGUGUGAAUUGCCUGAAGAAAUUAUCAGUUGAAUAGAUGACGACUACCUCCAUAUAUUGG